RNAcentral lists this ribosomal RNA (429 nucleotides) under Bacteroidota bacterium. Its description in RNAcentral is "Bacteroidetes bacterium partial 16S ribosomal RNA". It matches the Rfam family "Bacterial small subunit ribosomal RNA", at positions 355 to 776 of the family's 1533-position model. The record is from RNAcentral. Lineage: Bacteria; Pseudomonadati; Bacteroidota.
UAGGGAAUCUUCCGCAAUGGACGCAAGUCUGACGGAGCAACGCCGCGUGAGUGAAGAAGGAUUUCGGUUCGUAAAACUCUGUUGUUAGAGAAGAACAGCGCAUAGAGGAACUGUUAUGCGUGUGACGGUAUCUAACCAGAAAGCCACGGCUAACUACGUGCCAGCAGCCGCGGUAAUACGUAGGUGGCAAGCGUUGCCCGGAUUUAUUGGGCGUAAAGCGAGCGCAGGCGGUCAAUUAAGUCUGAUGUGAAAGCCCCCGGCUCAACCGGGGGGGGUGAUUGGAAACUGGUUGACUUGAGUGCAGAAGAGGGGAGUGGAAUUCCAUGUUUAACGGUGAAAUGCGUAGAUAUGUGGAGGAAAACCAGUGGCGAAGGCGACUCUCUGGUCUGUAACUGACGCUGGGGCUCGAAAGCGUGGGUAGCAAACAGG